Long non-coding RNA from Neofelis nebulosa (Clouded leopard), 1545 nucleotides. RefSeq lists it as uncharacterized. The record is from RefSeq and is a predicted model, not a curated record. The transcript is spliced from 3 exons. NCBI's taxonomy places the organism in Eukaryota, Metazoa, Chordata, Mammalia, Carnivora, Felidae.
UCUCCUCCCCGCGUUGGCGCCUCCUAGCUCGCCUUUCCAGGCGCUUCCCUGGCGGUAGUGUCUCCGACCCCCGUAAACGUUUCAAGGCCUGCAACCGACUGGCGUAGACGCUUUCUCUUUGGAUUCUCACCCUGUGAGAUGGACACGGCAGGGAGAAUUCAGCUUUACAGGUGGGAGAAGUAAAGGUCACAGAGGUUGAGUGACUCUCCGUAGAAGCACGUGCUGGGAUUUUAGCAAUGGUUCCAGACAGACCCGUGUUUUCUCCUUCCUAACGUUGGCCCAGUCGUUAACCGUUCAAAACUUAUUUCGUCAUCUGCGAAAUGGGGAAAAUGAUAGCCACCUUGUGAAACUGGGGUGAAGAACACAGAAAAGAACAGGAGAAGAAUCUAGUGCGAGGACUGGCCUGUAGUGGGUUGUUCAUGAAUAGUAUGUGUGUAAGCCUCAAACAUUCCCAGAUCUUCUGACUUCCAGUCUGGGACUUUUUGUGCUAAAGCAGUUUCAGAGGUCCAGAGAACUCGGAGGGUUCGGGGAUAUAGUCAAGGGAUUCGGUGAGUUGUCACAUAGGAGAGACCCCACAGCAAAACACACUACUCUGAGGCAAAUACUAAACAUUGUUUUUACUACUACUCUUAAUUAGAUUAUACUUUAUUUUUUGUCAACUUUUGUCAGGCACCGUUCCCAACCUUGUUUGUUUACUCUUCACAAUGACCUGUGAGUUGCCUCCUAUUAAAACGCUCGCUUUAGAGAGGGGACACUGAGGCACAGAGAGAGGUUAAAUAACACAUUCAUGCUUAAAAAGCUCAAAGUCGUCAGAGCUGAGAUUUAUACCCAACCAAUCUAGCUCAUAAAGCCACGCAUACUGAUAUUUGUGUUUUACGCUGUGACAAAAUGGGGUUGUGAUAAGAUCUGUCUUUGAUAAUACAUACUUUUGUCACCAUCUAGAAGAUGCCGCUGACUUUUUUAAAACUCCUAAAGGGCAGGAGGAAGAAAAAACGAAACAGAGAGGCACCUAACUAAGUCCUUGACUGUGGACAGACUAUAUAUGGGCUGAUUAUGAGAAACUCACAUGCAGGCGCUAUGUUUGGAAUUCCAUUUUAGCUGAAUGUUCCAGACUGUCACAUCCCUCAGUGUCUCCAUGGAAGUGCCCACUAUGGGAGAAUGGCCGAAUGACAUGAUUGGAAUGGAAUGCAGCAGUCAUCUUAUCUGACCACACAGAUACCUGCCAGGGGAGGAAUGCCUCACAUCCUUAUGAUAAUUUUGAAGACUUUCUGAGAAGGGCCUGGUGAGACCAACACAGCUCCUGGACAGGGUCCACCACCUCCAUCACUGUGCCUUGUCCCUGUCUUCCUUGCACUAGUGUGUGUGUGUAAUCACAGGUCAUCUACUGACUAUGUGCAUGGAGAGCUCACUUAUCUUUGCAUCUGUGGGACCCAGAACAAAAGCCAUGAAGUAUUUUGAAACGUCAUGAUCUUGCAAUUUUGUGAGUUCCAGCCCCGCAUCCGGCUAUGCACUGACAGUGCAGAACCUGCUUGGUAUUCUCUCUCU